Gallus gallus (chicken) is the source of this 896-nucleotide long non-coding RNA. The record is from Ensembl. NCBI's taxonomy places the organism in Eukaryota, Metazoa, Chordata, Aves, Galliformes, Phasianidae.
AGAGGACUUUCGUGUUUGCUCUGCAUCCCUACACUGACACACAGUUUUACUGCAGUCUGAGUCAUCUCCAGAAUAUCAGCUAAAUCCUGGCUGAAGACAAGAUCUCCAUAAAGCAGGGCUUGCUUUUCUUUUUAUGAUGUUUCAAAUGCAAAAUGUUGCUUUCUUGGAUGCUCAGUUAUUUUUUGAACAAAUAUGCUCCAAAAGAAAAGGUGCUUUCACAUUUGCUGUUCCAGAACACAGCAGAAGAAACAAACUACAGAGAGGAUGUACUUGGGAAGUCUGUACAGGUGGAACCAACGUUUGUGCUGCAACACAAGGCAACAAAAGACAGCUUAAGACAGAAAGAAUAUGGGCUAUAAGUGGUGUUAUACCACCUCGCUAUCUGAGCACGUGGACUUUCGAGGGCAGACAUCCCCUGUUUUGAAUGUUUUAAUCCCAUAGUCUUCCAUUCUCUGAGAAGGGGGAUUCAGCACCCACUAACUAUAUCUUUUUUUUCCUCAGAGAGCCCAGUUUUAGCCUUUGUGUUUCAUUCGCUGCUGCUCUCAAUUCACUGGGGUGCCAUAGUCAUGAAUACACUGAGAUCUUUAAGUAUUUAUUACUUUGGCAACACCUUUCACAGCCCAUCAGUUUUCAUAAUUAAGUUCAUAGAUCUGCAUUACCUAGCAUAAGUUUUGAUCCAUAUUGUUUGCUGAGUUGGUCAUGAUUUGCUGGCUUUUUAUGAAACAGCAUUUUACUAGUCAAAUUCCUGGACUGUGCUUAUUAAUACAGUAGGCUCAAAUUUAUCAUACUUUAAAAAUCUGUUAUUUUGGACAGGGGGAAAAAAACCCAUCAUUUUGCUUCAUCCUGCAGGAGAACCGAGCCAUCUAUUUUAUUUAACCUUAACGAGGCAGCAGUCU